Molecule: transfer RNA, 55 nt
Filed under: Bothriocroton concolor (echidna tick)
Lineage: Eukaryota; Metazoa; Arthropoda; Arachnida; Ixodida; Ixodidae
Description: tRNA-Ser
Source: RNAcentral
AAGAUUAACAAUUAAGGCUUCUAACCUAAUAAAAAUGAGUUCUCAUUUAAUCUUU